AUUGAACGCUGGCGGCAGGCUUAACACAUGCAAGUCGAGCGGUGAAAGGUAGCUUGCUACUUGACCUAGCGGCGGACGGGUGAGUAAUGCUUAGGAAUCUGCCUAUUAGUGGGGGACAACAUCUCGACAGGGAUGCUAAUACCGCAUACGUCCUACGGGAGAAAGCAGGGGCCCUUCGGGCCUUGCGCUAAUAGAUGAGCCUAAGUCGGAUUAGCUAGUUGGUGGGGUAAAGGCCUACCAAGGCGACGAUCUGUAGCGGGUCUGAGAGGAUGAUCCGCCACACUGGGACUGAGACACGGCCCAGUCUCCUACGGGAGGCAGCAGUGGGGAAUAUUGGACAAGGGGGGGAACCCUGAUCCAGCCAUGCCGCGUGUGUGAAGAAGGCCUUUUGGUUGUAAAGCACUUUAAGCGAGGAGGAGGCUACCGAGAUUAAUACUCUUGGAUAGUGGACGUUACUCGCAGAAUAAGCACCGGCUAACUCUGUGCCAGCAGCCGCCGUAA
Molecule: ribosomal RNA, 501 nt
Filed under: uncultured bacterium
Lineage: Bacteria
Description: partial 16S ribosomal RNA
Rfam family: Bacterial small subunit ribosomal RNA
Source: RNAcentral